GGAUCAUUAAUAAUGCCCUCUGGCUUCGGUCAGCUGGGUUCAAUGAGUGCCUUCUCUUCGGAGUUGGCCAUCCACACACACCGUGAACUGUGGCUUCGGCCAUCACAAACUGUUAGUAAUGAAUGUAAUAUCAUAACAAAAACAAAACUUUUAACAACGGAUCUCUUGGCUCUCGCAUCGAUGAAGAACGCAGCGAAAUGCGAUAAGUAAUGUGAAUUGCAGAAUUCAGUGAAUCAUCGAAUCUUUGAACGCACAUUGCGCCCGCCAGUAUUCUGGCGGGCAUGCCUGUUCGAGCGUCAUUUCAACCCUCAAGCCCCCGGGCUUGGUGUUGGGGACCGGCCCCCCGCCCUCCGGCGGGGGCCGCCCCCGAAAAUCAGUGGCGGUCUCGCUGUAGCUUCCCCUGCGUAGUAGCACACCUCGCUCUGGAACGCGGCGCGGCCAUGCCGUGAAACCCCCCACUUCUGAAGGUUGACCUCGGAUCAGGUAGGAAUGCCCGCUGAACUUAAGCAUAUCAA
Molecule: unclassified non-coding RNA, 515 nt
Filed under: uncultured fungus
Lineage: Eukaryota; Fungi
Description: partial contains 18S rRNA, ITS1, 5.8S rRNA, ITS2, and 26S rRNA
Rfam family: 5.8S ribosomal RNA (bases 146-299)
Source: RNAcentral